AAAGGAAAAAUCCACUGCACCUCCACUUGGUGACUGACGCCGUGGCCAGAAACAUCCUGGAGACGCUCUUCCACACAUGGAUGGUGCCUGCUGUCCGUGUCAGCUUUUACCAUGCCGACGAGCUCAAGCCCCAGGUCUCCUGGAUCCCCAACAAGCACUACUCCGGCCUCUAUGGGCUAAUGAAGCUGGUGCUGCCCAGUGCCUUGCCCGCUGAGCUGGCCCGCGUCAUUGUCCUGGACACGGAUGUCACCUUCGCCUCUGACAUCUCGGCACUCUGGGCACUCUUCGCUCACUUUUCUGACACGCAGGCGAUCGGUCUCGUGGAGAACCAGAGUGACUGGUACCUGGGCAACCUCUGGAAGAACCACAGGCCCUGGCCUGCCUUGGGCCGGGGAUUUAACACAGGUGUGAUCCUGCUGCGGCUGGACCGACUCCGGCAGGCUGGCUGGGAGCAGAUGUGGAGGCUGACGGCCAGGCGGGAGCUCCUUACCCUGCCUGCCACCUCACUGGCUGACCAGGUCUGAGGAAGCCUUGCCGGGUGGGGUGUGGCAGGCUGGGGGCUGGGAUGUGAUGGGUGUCUCUGCUCAGGACAUAUUCAACGCUGUGAUCAAGGAGCACCCGGGGCUAGUGCGGCGUCUGCCUUGUGUCUGGAAUGUGCAGCUGUCAGAUCACACACUGGCCGAGCGCUGCUACUCUGAGGCGUCUGACCUCAAGGUGAUCCACUGGAACUCACCAAAGAAGCUUCGGGUGAAGAACAAGCAUGUGGAAUUCUUCCGCAAUUUCUACCUGACCUUCCUGGGGUACGAUGGGAACCUGCUGCGGAGAGAGCUCUUUGUGUGCCCCAGCCAGCCCCCGCCUGGUGCUGAGCAGUUGCAGCAGGCCCUGGCACAACUGGACGAGGAAGAUCCCUGCUUUGAGUUCCGGCAGCAGCAGCUCACUGUGCACCGUGUGCACGUCACUUUCCUGCCCCAUGAACCGCCACCCCCCCGGCCUCACGAUGUCACCCUUGUGGCUCAGCUGUCCAUGGACCGGCUGCAGAUGUUGGAAGCCCUGUGCAGGCACUGGCCUGGCCCCAUGAGCCUGGCCUUGUACCUGACAGACGCAGAAGCUCAGCAGUUCCUGCAUUUUGUCGAGGCCUCACCAGUGCUUGCUGCCCGGCAGGACGUGGCCUACCACGUGGUGUACCGUGAGGGGCCCCUAUACCCUGUCAACCAGCUUCGCAACGUGGCCUUGGCCCAGGCCCUCACGCCUUACGUCUUCCUCAGUGACAUUGACUUCCUGCCUGCCUAUUCUCUCUACAACUACCUCAGGGAGGCCAGGGCCUGCUUCAACAGCAGCUCCACCUGUGGUUGUGUCCACCCGUCGCAUCAGGCAAGAUGGCCCAUGGUGGUCUGGUCCUGUGGUUAAUGCCCUGAUGUCACUGGCCCAGUCCUAGAGGCCCCGCUCUUCUCCCCUGCUCAUGGGUGCUCCUCCUCAGGGCCUCCAUUGAGCAGCUGGGGCUGGGCAGCCAGCGCAAGGCAGCGCUGGUGGUGCCGGCAUUCGAGACCCUGCGCUACCGCUUCAGCUUCCCCCAUUCCAAGGUGGAGCUGCUGGCCUUGCUGGAUGCCGGCGCUCUCUAUACCUUCAGGUACCACGAGUGGCCCCGGGGCCACGCACCCACAGACUAUGCCCGCUGGCGGGAGGCUCAGGCCCCGUACCGUGUGCAAUGGGCGGCCGACUAUGAACCCUACGUGGUGGUGCCACGAGACUGUCCCCGCUAUGAUCCUCGCUUUGUGGGCUUCGGCUGGAACAAGGUGGCCCACAUUGUGGAGCUGGAUGCCCAGGAAUAUGAGCUCCUGGUGCUGCCCGAGGCCUUCACCAUCCAUCUGCCCCAUGCUCCAAGCCUGGACAUCUCCCGCUUCCGCUCCAGCCCCACCUAUCGUGACUGCCUCCAGGCCCUCAAGGACGAAUUCCACCAGGACUUGUCCCGCCACCAUGGGGCUGCUGCCCUCAAAUACCUCCCGGCCCUGCAGCAACCCCAGAGCCCUGCCCGAGGCUGAGGAUGGGCCGGCGCUGCCCCUCAUCUUAGCAUUGGGCAGACACCAGGGCAACCUGCCAUCCGCCCUCCCUGCUAUUUAAAUUAUUUAAGGUCUCUGGGAAGGGCUGGGGUGGAGCAUCUGUGGGGUGGGGUCUUCCCCUUGCUGCUAUUGUAUGGCUGGGGACUGGUCUCCCUCUGCCCCCAGCCAGUUUGGGGCUGGUUCCCCCAUCUUGAAUUGUUUAUCCCUUUUUCAUAAUUAAAGUUUUAAAACAUC
RNAcentral lists this small RNA (2291 nucleotides) under Pongo abelii (Sumatran orangutan). RNAcentral's name for it is "retained intron". Lineage: Eukaryota; Metazoa; Chordata; Mammalia; Primates; Hominidae. The record is from RNAcentral.